This 268-nucleotide ribosomal RNA is filed under the name uncultured bacterium. Its description in RNAcentral is "partial 16S ribosomal RNA". It matches the Rfam family "Bacterial small subunit ribosomal RNA", at positions 28 to 297 of the family's 1533-position model. The record is from RNAcentral.
GACGAACGCUGGCGGCGUGCUUAACACAUGCAAGUCGAGCGGUAAGGCCCUUUCGGGGGGUACACGAGCGGCGAACGGGUGAGUAACACGUGGGUGACCUGCCCUCAGCUCUGGGAUAAGCCUGGGAAACCGGGUCUAAUACUGGAUAUGACUCCAUGACGCAUGUUGUGGGGUGAAAGCCUUGUGCGGCUGAGGAUGGGCCCGCGGCCUAUCGAGCUUGUUGGUGGGGUGAGGCCUACCAAGGCGACGACGGGUAGCCGGCCUGAGA